Nicotiana attenuata is the source of this 880-nucleotide long non-coding RNA. RefSeq lists it as uncharacterized. The transcript is spliced from 2 exons. NCBI's taxonomy places the organism in Eukaryota, Viridiplantae, Streptophyta, Magnoliopsida, Solanales, Solanaceae. The record is from RefSeq and is a predicted model, not a curated record.
UCUUACUGAUUUUAGAGAGAGAGGAGGGCAUAUUAGAGAGAUAAGGAGGAGAAAAAAAACCUAGAGGCCUAAGAGCAAAAUUCUUCCGCCGCAGUGACCAAAAAAGGGACCCCCAUCGGAUUUUUGGAGGCUUCUCUUUCGCAUUUCCAAAGCUAGCUUUAUCUUCUUAAAAGAAAACAAAAAAGGAAGGUUCCGUUUCCCAUUUUUCUUUUGGAUCUUCCUCUUGUGAUUUUUGAAAGAAAACGCACAUGAACAGUGCAUUUGUGACCCCAAGACAGCACCCCCCAUUUGCUUUCCUAAGACCAUGUAGCAGACGUACAUCAUUUUCUUUUGUUGUUAUUUCACCUUCGCUACUCUUUUUGGUGUUUUAUCGAAGUUGUUAAUCCAUAUCCAAGUUUCGAGCAGUGUGCUUGUCGUAGGCAGAAAAAUAUAAAUAGACUGGGCAUUUGUGCAUAAAAUCGGGGAGAAAUGAAUUUCGAGCAAUGUUGGUUCAUGUCAACCAUUAAAAUGCUGCUGAUUUCGUUGAUCUGUUGCUGUGCUCCAACUAUCUUUGCCCGUUGGCUUAGAUUUAGUCUUUACACCAUUAGAUUUGAAGCUUCAGACGAAUUCGCGAGGCAAAGGAUUGUUAGAAUUUCGAAUUGGUUGCAAAGCGAGAUCUAGGUAUUUGAUCGAUAGUAGCUGUUCGUUGCACUGGAGACUCGGGGUAAACCUGCUGCAGCCUUCGCGGUCCUCGGAGUCACCUUCGAUUGUACUUAUUUCCAUAUGUACCUUUUGUUCGGAACAGUGAUGUAUUUAUUUUGAAUAACUACUCUUAGAAAAGCUUAUGACUUGUACUACCGGUUUUGGGAAUGGUAAAUUGUUUAGAGAAAUUUCAUUUUAA